This 1372-nucleotide ribosomal RNA is filed under the name uncultured bacterium. Its description in RNAcentral is "bacterial SSU rRNA". It matches the Rfam family "Bacterial small subunit ribosomal RNA", at positions 28 to 1381 of the family's 1533-position model. The record is from RNAcentral.
GAUGAACGCUGGCGGCGUGCCUAAUACAUGCAAGUCGAGCGAACGGACGAGAAGCUUGCUUCUCUGAUGUUAGCGGCGGACGGGCGAGUAACACGUGGAUAACCUACCUAUAAGACUGGGAUAACUUCGGGAAACCGGAGCUAAUACCGGAUGAUAUUUUGAACCGCAUGGUUCAAAAGUGAAAGACGGUCUUGCUGUCACUUAUAGAUGGAUCCGCGCUGCAUUAGCUAGUUGGUAAGGUAACGGCUUACCAAGGCAACGAUGCAUAGCCGACCUGAGAGGGUGAUCGGCCACACUGGAACUGAGACACGGUCCAGACUCCUACGGGAGGCAGCAGUAGGGAAUCUUCCGCAAUGGGCGAAAGCCUGACGGAGCAACGCCGCGUGAGUGAUGAAGGUCUUCGGAUCGUAAAACUCUGUUAUUAGGGAAGAACAUAUGUGUAAGUAACUGUGCACAUCUUGACGGUACCUAAUCAGAAAGCCACGGCUAACUACGUGCCAGCAGCCGCGGUAAUACGUAGGUGGCAAGCGUUAUCCGGAAUUAUUGGGCGUAAAGCGCGCGUAGGCGGUUUUUUAAGUCUGAUGUGAAAGCCCACGGCUCAACCGUGGAGGGUCAUUGGAAACUGGAAAACUUGAGUGCAGAAGAGGAAAGUGGAAUUCCAUGUGUAGCGGUGAAAUGCGCAGAGAUAUGGAGGAACACCAGUGGCGAAGGCGACUUUCUGGUCUGUAACUGACGCUGAUGUGCGAAAGCGUGGGGAUCAAACAGGAUUAGAUACCCUGGUAGUCCACGCCGUAAACGAUGAGUGCUAAGUGUUAGGGGGUUUCCGCCCCUUAGUGCUGCAGCUAACGCAUUAAGCACUCCGCCUGGGGAGUACGACCGCAAGGUUGAAACUCAAAGGAAUUGACGGGGACCCGCACAAGCGGUGGAGCAUGUGGUUUAAUUCGAAGCAACGCGAAGAACCUUACCAAAUCUUGACAUCCUUUGACAACUCUAGAGAUAGAGCCUUCCCCUUCGGGGGACAAAGUGACAGGUGGUGCAUGGUUGUCGUCAGCUCGUGUCGUGAGAUGUUGGGUUAAGUCCCGCAACGAGCGCAACCCUUAAGCUUAGUUGCCAUCAUUAAGUUGGGCACUCUAAGUUGACUGCCGGUGACAAACCGGAGGAAGGUGGGGAUGACGUCAAAUCAUCAUGCCCCUUAUGAUUUGGGCUACACACGUGCUACAAUGGACAAUACAAAGGGCAGCGAAACCGCGAGGUCAAGCAAAUCCCAUAAAGUUGUUCUCAGUUCGGAUUGUAGUCUGCAACUCGACUACAUGAAGCUGGAAUCGCUAGUAAUCGUAGACCAGCAUGCUACGGUGAAUACGUUCCCGGGUCU